GGUAUGUAAUCCUGUUUGCUCCCCACGCUUUCGCACCUGAUCGUCAGUCUUUGUCCAGGGGGCCGCCUUCGGCACCGGUAUUCCUCCAGAUCUNUACGCAUUUCACCGNUACACCUGGAAUUCUACCCCCCUCUACAAGACUCUAGCCGGACAGUUUUAAAUGCAAUUCCCAGGUUGAGCCCGGGGCUUUCACAUNUAACUUAUCCAACCGCCUGCGUGCGCUUUACGCCCAGUAAUUCCGAUUAACGCUUGCACCCUCCGUAUUACCGCGGCUGCUGGCACGGAGUUAGCCGGUGCUUNUUCUGCGAGUAACGUCACAGNCGGCAGAUAUUAGCUACNGACCUUUCCUCCUNGCUGAAAGUGCUUUACAACCCGAAGGCCUU
RNAcentral lists this ribosomal RNA (383 nucleotides) under Aeromonas caviae. Its description in RNAcentral is "partial 16S ribosomal RNA". Lineage: Bacteria; Pseudomonadati; Pseudomonadota; Gammaproteobacteria; Aeromonadales; Aeromonadaceae. The record is from RNAcentral.